CCAAUAUAAACAUUUUCUUCUGAUUUUCAUUCUAUCUUUAGAAUGGCAAUUGUGAGAAGAGAAGAAAAAAUAAUGCAAUUUCAAGAAAGUCCUACAGCUUUGAGUUAAUGCUGACAGUGGGUAUCACCACCACGGGGAUAAGUGUGCAUUGCUCAAGUGUACCAUUGGAAGACAUGACUUCAGUGUACCCUUCUUCACAACUGCACAUCCUCGUCUGCAGAAGAACAAGACUUAUACUGUACAUGCAAGGUGAUCUUUUACAGUACCAGGUGUGCUGAAGUUGUUAUAAUGAAGUUUCAAGACAAGAAUAGAUGUCAUAAAGAAACAGUAUUGGUGGCAUGGAAAGAACUGAUAGUUUCAAACCAUACUUGUUCAACUUAGAAUUUUAGCAAAGCAAGAUUUUUCCUUUAUUUGUGGAAUUGAUGAUCCUCUUGGAAUCUAAUCAAAGAACUCUGUCUCCCCCUGUUGCCUCGGAGAGUGGUGUGCUUGGAACAGAUUUUUCUUCCAGAAAAUAACAGUGUGAGAGAGCAAAGCGUUUCUUGCAAUACCCAGUCUUCUGAAGUAGAUACAUGCAUUUCUGUGACAUGUUUUUAAUUCUUUUAAUAUAAAUAGAAUGUUGUUUUCAACUUAUGCUAUUAUAACAGUGCCUCAGUGGUCAGUCUUGUGCAAGCCUCCUGGUGCUUCUUCAAGAAUAACAAUUCUCAAAUUAUGGUCCAGGGACCAGGGAAGACUUCGACAUUCUUUCAGAGUACGUGUGUGAUGAUUUUCCCCUUUAACUACACACCUGGGUCUGAAGUGGUUUGGAUUAAAUGCUGUGACCAAAAGACAUAGACGGACCGAAUGGAUAUAAAAACAAGACCCAAAUAUAUGCUGUCUGUAGAGACCCAGCCAUAAAAAGAACAAAAUAAUGCGAUUUGCAGUGACAUGGACAGACCUAGAGACUCGUCAUACUCAGUGAAGUUAACCGACUUGCCAUCACUUCGAACACAAUCCAGCAUCCUCGUUUUCAUGCCAUUUCCACAAACUGCCUUCUCACUCAGCUGGCACGUACUCCAGUCUGGAAGGAAGGGAGCAUAUCAGAACAGAAGGCUAUGCAUGAACCGGAUUUCAAAUGAAACUCGGAUGACCUGAAUCCCAUAUUUAAUUCACAACUGCUUCCUAAGCCCCGCAGUCAAUCAUCCCACACGCAGAGCGUAUGGGCCCCGGCUUUGAACGUAUCUGGAGUCAAAUGGAAAUGCUGGCGUUGCACAUCGCUACAGGGACUAUUCCUGAGGCAGAUGUCUCCCUGACAAUCUUGCUAGCUAGCUGUUUGGUGAUACUGUAGAAAUGGCUGUGGCCUGCAGAUCAAAUGUCAUUUAAAAACCUUUUUCCUAACGGAAGUAGAAAUUUACAUUUCAACAUUUUUGUUUAAGCAAAAUAAUCAUAAUUUUAAUGGCUCGUACUUUAGGUAGUUAUAUCCAAAUAAAACUGUCUUUCACUUACUGUCCGUACUGUAGAAUACUGUAAAAUGUACGCUUAUUUAUUUCAAAAUCACUUUGGCCAUAUUUAUUUAAUUCCCUUUAUUAUAUAUCUUUUGCAAAAUAAUUCUUUCCAGGGUAACGUAGCAUGCCCCAGAGAACUGUGAUUUCAUUGUGUCAUGAAAGGAAACUGAAGAGAAAAACCAAAAGAACAAAAAGUCAGUCUGACUGCUGUGUGUCACUGUACAGUUUCUGGGGUUUAUUUUGGUGUGAAAAUUACUUGGGAAAAAUUCCAGAGUUAGCUUCAGUGUUGCCCUAAGUCAUACAAACCAUGAAAGUCUUCUUUCCUAGAGUAUAUACCUUGAUGGUAUGAGAUGAGGGUUUGGGAAAGAAAUGGAAUUUAGAAUAAGCCUUUUUUUUCUAAAAAAAACACUCAUCUAUCUUUUUUCACCUACACCUUUGAUAAUAUUUAUAUCUCUGAAAUGUUUAUAUUCUCUUCACGCACUUCUUGGCAAGCUUAAGAUUGCUGAUGUCUUUACAGCAGACUAAUCGUGCCUAUGAACUGCCCCCACGGAAAGAAUUGUUGUCCCAGUAUUCACAGUGAUUAAACACAUUCUGAAGAAGAAAGACAUCUUUCAAUAAACUGAUACCCAUGGGAAGAUAUACCUUUUAUGUGCACCUUCUGAAAGUGGGAGGGUGGCUUAAGUAGGAACCCUUAGACUAUUCUCCGUCUGCCUUAAGAGCUAAUGUUUGUGUGAUAAUUUCAUUCUCUAUUUUGAUGUUUAUGAAAAAUAAGGCAGAUAAAUAUUUCUUUCAUUUAAUACGGAAUUAUUUCUGGGAGAGUAAGCAGCAUGUCCAAAAGGCACGCAGAUGGAGUUGAACAAUACUUCCGGAAAUGCUGCUGAGCUGACAGACGUGGGAUUUGACCUUUAACUCUAUAAGGAGAUGACUGUUCACAUACCUGUUACAUUAUAAUCAUAGUGGAAGCAGUUUUUGUUCAGGUUACAGGGUUCCUUCUCAACAGCAUCAGGGCAGGCUCUUCCUUCAUCAGCAGGUUGUCUGAUGGGAUCAGCUGACCUUUGCCGGAAACUGCUUUGAUUGCAAGGCUGACAAAGAAUAAUAUAGCUCCUCAGAAAGGUGAGUACUCAGCCACACAAGAGCUAAUGUAUUAGGGAGAGCACUGGAGCAAGAGCUAGAACCUUUGGGACACUGGCUAACUUAAACAAUCUCAUAACGCCUCAGUUUCUUCAUUUAUAAAAUCAAGGUGUUGGAUGAGUUUCUGAUGUUCCAGCUAGCUCUAAGAUGCUGGGAACAGGGAACGUUGUUUGCCAUUCCAGUACACAAAGAAUGUUGUCUGCUGCCUCAGUUCUACAAUGAUCAAGGCACCAGCCACUGCAGCUGCUGCAGGUGAUGUGCCCUGAGCGAAACAGGAUGGAGGAAAAGAGGUAGCAUUCUGUGCUUUGGAUACUGACCCAAGAUAGUUAAGAUAUGUCUAGGGAAUAAUUUCAAUAAGCCCAGAUUCUUGCAUCUUCCUAUACCCAGGAAAGCACUAAAGUCAUUAACUAGAGAUGUCUGUUUUAGUGAUUAGCAGUAAUCUUUUGAUGUCUGACUGUAUGUUCUUUCCCAGCAAAAAACUCCUGUUUAUCCUGGCUCCUCCUUUACCUUUUCAGAGCAGUUCCUCAGAGCUAUCUAAAAGGUUGUCUCCCAGGCUAUAAUCCUCAGUAAGAUCCCCGAAUAAAGCUUAACUCGCAACUUUUAAGCUGUGUGUGUUUC
Molecule: non-coding RNA, 3230 nt
Organism: Delphinapterus leucas (beluga whale)
Lineage: Eukaryota; Metazoa; Chordata; Mammalia; Artiodactyla; Monodontidae
Source: RefSeq, a predicted model, not a curated record